Molecule: ribosomal RNA, 429 nt
Filed under: Pseudomonadota bacterium
Lineage: Bacteria; Pseudomonadati; Pseudomonadota
Description: Proteobacteria bacterium partial 16S ribosomal RNA
Rfam family: Bacterial small subunit ribosomal RNA
Source: RNAcentral
UGGGGAAUAUUGGACAAUGGGCGAAAGCCUGAUCCAGCCAUGCCGCGUGUGUGAAGAAGGUCUUCGGAUUGUAAAGCACUUUAAGUUGGGAGGAAGGGCAGUAAGCGAAUACCUUGCUGUUUUGACGUUACCGACAGAAUAAGCACCGGCUAACUCUGUGCCAGCAGCCGCGGUAAUACAGAGGGUGCAAGCGUUAAUCGGAAUUACUGGGCGUAAAGCGGGCGUAGGUGGUUCGUUAAGUUGAAUGUGAAAGCCCCGGGCUCAACCUGGGAACUGCAUCCAAAACUGGCGAGCUGGAGUAGGGCAGAGGGUGGUGGAAUUUCCUGUGGAGCGGUGAAAUGCGUAGAUAUAGGAAGGAACACCAGUGGCGAAGGCGACCACCUGGGCUCAUACUGACACUGAGGUGCGAAAGCGUGGGGAGCAAACAGG